AUGCACGCUGGCGGCGUGCCUCAUACAUGCAAGUCGAGCGAACGGACGAGAAGCUUGCUUCUCUGAUGUUAGCGGCGGACGGGUGAGUAACACGUGGAUAACCUACCUAUAAGACUGGGAUAACUUCGGGAAACCGGAGCUAAUACCGGAUGAUAUUUUGAACCGCAUGGUUCAAAAGUGAAAGACGGUCUUGCUGUCACUUAUAGAUGGAUCCGCGCUGCAUUAGCUAGUUGGUAAGGUAACGGCUUACCAAGGCAACGAUGCAUAGCCGACCUGAGAGGGUGAUCGGCCACACUGGAACUGAGACACGGUCCAGACUCCUACGGGAGGCAGCAGUAGGGAAUCUUCCGAAAUGGGCGAAAGCCUGACGGAGCAACGCCGCGUGAGUGAUGAAGGUCUUCGGAUCGUAAAACUCUGUUAUUAGGGAAGAACAUAUGUGUAAGUAACUGUGCACAUCUUGACGGUACCUAAUCAGAAAGCCACGGCUAACUACGUG
Molecule: ribosomal RNA, 496 nt
Filed under: uncultured bacterium
Lineage: Bacteria
Description: partial 16S ribosomal RNA
Rfam family: Bacterial small subunit ribosomal RNA
Source: RNAcentral